UACGGGGGGGGCAAGCGUUGUUCGGAAUUACUGGGCGUAAAGGGCUCGUAGGCGGCCAACUAAGUCAGACGUGAAAUCCCUCGGCUUAACCGGGGAACUGCAUCUGAUACUGGAUGGCUUGAGUUCGGGAGAGGGAUGCGGAAUUCCAGGUGUAGCGGUGAAAUGCGUAGAUAUCUGGAGGAACACCGGUGGCGAAGGCGACUUCCUGGCCUGUUCUUGACGCUGAGGCGCGAAAGCUAGGGGAGCAAACGGG
This 253-nucleotide ribosomal RNA is filed under the name uncultured bacterium. Its description in RNAcentral is "partial 16S ribosomal RNA". It matches the Rfam family "Bacterial small subunit ribosomal RNA", at positions 524 to 776 of the family's 1533-position model. The record is from RNAcentral.